GAUGAAGAAGAAGAGCCAUACUAACGUACAUUUUGACUAUGGAGGGUACUAUUCAGAAGGGAAUGAGUGGAUUUAUAAAAAUUCACUAUACGCUAUAUCGUUUAAGACGGCAUGUUUAGAGAAGAUAACUUAUUCGGUGCUAUUAGAUAAGAUCACUACGAAGGUUGGCCAGAAUGGAGUCCCUGGGAAUCUGAAACUGAGUUACAAUCUAUCUAAAGCUCGGAGAGAGACAUAUAUUGUAGAUGAUGAGGACGUAUACAUUUUUUUAACAGAAUGUGAUGAAGAGGGUCGUAUUCCAGUUUUGCAUGUGGAGCUAUUAAGUGACAAUAACCAGAGGGUGGAAGUGUUAGUACCGGAGCGUCGAAGUUCAGUUGGUGUGAAUUAUGUAAAGCUAGUGAAUGUGAAUGAAGUUUUGGAGAAUGAUGUGAAUGAAGUUUUGGAGAAUGAUGUGAAUGAAGUUUUGGAGAAUGAUGUGAAUGAAGUUUUGGAGAAUGAUGUGAAUGAAGUUUUGGUGAAUGAUGUGAAUGAAGUUUUGGUGAAUGAUGUGAAUGAAGUUUUGGUGAAUGAUGUGAAUGAUGAGAAUGAAGUUUUGGUGAAUGAUGUGAAUGAAGUUUUGGUGAAUGAAGAUAUGGUGAAUGAAGUGUGUCAGAAUGUGACAGGUAUGGAAGUUGUGGCUGUGGAAAGGUCGAUGGAUAACCAUUUGGAUGAAGAUGUGGAUGGUAUUUUUGAUUUUGAUGAAAGGUACUCCAAAGAAUAUAGAAUGGGAAGAUGGUACGGGUAUAGAACUUUAUCAAGAAUUUUGUUCUAAGGAAGCACUGUGGGAAUUGGUAAACAAAGCUGCAAAACAAGAAGUUUAUGGGGUUUUAACAGUUAAGUCUGACCCGUUGAGACUUAUGUUACGAUGCAAACAAUAUUCUCAAGGGUGUAAAUGGUAUUUACGAGUUGCGAGAACAAAGCAAUCAGAUUAUUGGAGUGUUAGAGUGCAUAGAAAGAUCCAUACAUGCUCGCGGUCUGUUGAGUCUACAAGCAAUAGUGUACAGAGAGGAACACCACGAUUAAUAGCAGCUGUUUUACAUGCUGACUUUCCAGGUAAUCU
This 1096-nucleotide long non-coding RNA is filed under the name Arabidopsis lyrata. RNAcentral describes it as "long non-coding RNA (ALYR_LNC001905)". The record is from RNAcentral. Lineage: Eukaryota; Viridiplantae; Streptophyta; Magnoliopsida; Brassicales; Brassicaceae.